Molecule: non-coding RNA, 54 nt
Organism: Gasterosteus aculeatus (three-spined stickleback)
Lineage: Eukaryota; Metazoa; Chordata; Actinopteri; Perciformes; Gasterosteidae
Source: Rfam
GAAAAGCAUUAUUGUAAGUCGCUUUGGAUAAAAGCGUCAGCUAAAUGACAAUGU